AGUGAACGCUGGCGGUAGGCCUAACACAUGCAAGUCGAACGGCAGCACAGUAAGAGCUUGCUCUUACGGGUGGCGAGUGGCGGACGGGUGAGGAAUACAUCGGAAUCUACUUUUUCGUGGGUGAUAACGUAGGGAAACUUACGCUAAUACCGCAUACGACCUACGGGUGAAAGCAGGGGAUCUUCGGACCUUGCGCGAUUGAAUGAGCCGAUGUCGGAUUAGCUAGUUGGCGGGGUAAAGGCCCACCAAGGCGACGAUCCGUAGCUGGUCUGAGAGGAUGAUCAGCCACACUGGAACUGAGACACGGUCCAGACUCCUACGGGAGGCAGCAGUAGGGAAUAUUGGACAAUGGGCGCAAGCCUGAUCCAGCCAUACCGCGUGGGUGAAGAAGGCCUUCGGGUUGUAAAGCCCUUUUGUUGGGAAAGAAAAGCAGCAGGUUAAUACCCCGCUGUUCUGACGGUACCCAAAGAAUAAGCACCGGCUAACUUCGUG
This 492-nucleotide ribosomal RNA is filed under the name uncultured bacterium. RNAcentral describes it as "partial 16S ribosomal RNA". It matches the Rfam family "Bacterial small subunit ribosomal RNA", at positions 29 to 507 of the family's 1533-position model. The record is from RNAcentral.